GAUGAACGCUGGCGGCGUGCCUAACACAUGCAAGUCGAGCGAUCUUCUUCGGAAGAGAGCGGCGGACGGGUGAGUAACGCGUGGGUAACCUGCCCUGUACACACGGAUAACAUACCGAAGGUAUGCUAAUACGAGAUAAUAUGCUUUUGUCGCAUGGUAGAAGUAUCAAAGCUCCGGCGGUACAGGAUGGACCCGCGUCUGAUUAGCUAGUUGGUAAGGUAACGGCUUACCAAGGCGACGAUCAGUAGCCGACCUGAGAGGGUGAUCGGCCACAUUGGAACUGAGACACGGUCCAAACUCCUACGGGAGGCAGCAGUGGGGAAUAUUGCACAAUGGGCGAAAGCCUGAUGCAGCAACGCCGCGUGAGCGAUGAAGGCCUUCGGUCGUAAAGCUCUGUCCUCAAGGAAGAUAAUGACGGUACUUGAGGAGGAAGCCCCGGCUAACUACGUGCCAGCAGCCGCGGUAAU
RNAcentral lists this ribosomal RNA (467 nucleotides) under uncultured bacterium. RNAcentral describes it as "bacterial SSU rRNA". It matches the Rfam family "Bacterial small subunit ribosomal RNA", at positions 28 to 524 of the family's 1533-position model. The record is from RNAcentral.